RNAcentral lists this ribosomal RNA (449 nucleotides) under uncultured bacterium. RNAcentral describes it as "partial 16S ribosomal RNA". It matches the Rfam family "Bacterial small subunit ribosomal RNA", at positions 29 to 523 of the family's 1533-position model. The record is from RNAcentral.
AACGAACGCUGGCGGCAGGCUUAACACAUGCAAGUCGAACGCAUCCUUCGGGGUGAGUGGCAGACGGGUGAGUAACGCGUGGGAACGUGCCCUUCAGUUCGGGAUAACCCAGGGAAACUUGGGCUAAUACCGGAUACGUGCGAGAGCAGAAAGAUUUAUCGCUGAAGGAUCGGCCCGCGUCUGAUUAGCUAGUUGGUGGGGUAAUGGCCCACCAAGGCGACGAUCAGUAGCUGGUCUGAGGGGAUGAUCAGCCACAUUGGGACUGAGACACGGCCCAAACUCCUACGGGAGGCAGCAGUGGGGAAUAUUGGACAAUGGGCGCAAGCCUGAUCCAGCCAUGCCGCGUGAGUGAUGAAGGCCUCAGGGUUGUAAAGCUCUUUCGUCCGGGACGAUAAUGACGGUACCGGAAGAAGAAGCCCCGGCUAACUUCGUACCAGCAGCCGCGGUAA